AAGGUUCAUAAUUACAUAAUUAUAUGGCGAUUAUAUGAGCAACGUUUUUAAAUCCAACAUGCCGACUAUUAUGUAUAUCAAAUAUUUGAGUCGCACCAGCACAAGGGAAUAAUGUUGUAUCUUCGACAGAAAAAAGUCCAGCGCUAAUGUUACUUUAAUUACAUGUCCGGGAGCACGUUUCGUCCAUGGAAUACGAUCUGGGUAUAUUCGCUGAUGUCCGAGAACGGUAAGGUUAGGUAAGUAAGAAGGUAGGCAGACAGGUACUAUAGUGUAGCAGCUCGCGGGCAUUACGAGUAUGGUGAAUCGCUGUGGCAGCCGCCAUGCGGGAGAUUUAUCACUUUUUGUUGUUGGUGGCGUUUUAUUAGUGCACCGCCACGAUCAAAGCACAGGAUGAAUCUGCCUGGGGAAUGUCUGGAGGAAGAAAGAGUAUCGUAGAUUGAAGUUAUGGCAAGCAAAAACGUCGGAAGGAAAAAUAACCUUAAAAUUUGAAAAAGGAUAAGGUAAUGGAUUUUCUCGAGAACUGCGGACAAGUUCUGAAUUUAAUUACAACGCGGAAUGAUUAUUUCGACGUUUAGUAUCGUAAUGGAAAGGACAUAUUUGCAGAAGAUAACUGGAUUCACGUGCAUCAUUCGACUUUAUCGACAGCCGAUACUCUCGACUCCAAAGAAUUCGGACACGAUGGACCCUGACUUCCUCAUUAAUUUUCAAGCCCACUAAGAGUUGCUCCCAAGAUGCAGGAACUACAAGCACCGUAACCUCUUAACGUACCGAUCGGACAUAAUGAGUUUCAUUAAUCUCAGCGCGCAUAAUCAAGUCUAACGACUGGUGCUAUUAAUUAUUAUUACCCACGGGUGAAGGCUGUAAAUGAAAAAGCAAGUCCGUAAUAGGGUAUAAAAAUUGCUCCAGAAUGAUAAGAAAGAUAGUUGGUGGAUGUUUCAAAUUUUCCCGGCAACUCGCCGACCAAUUACGCUCUACUGUCGGCGAAACAAACAUGGCGGGUUCUGAAGGAACUUCACCGGAUUAUAAAGGAACAAACUGAACUCCACUCUCCUAGGCUGUAUGAUAGGUUAUUACAGUGACAGCUAUUAGGAGGUUCAUGAUCUUUCUUCUCACGUCAAUUACAAGAAUUAUAACCGUGCGUUAAAGCGGCUCUUGGCGUACAGUGAAAUGGACCAGUGUCGAGUGACCGAGAAAGGAUGAAAAAAAAGAUGUAAUUAAAGAUAAAUAAAAAGGAAGACCAUACGACGGCUUUCUUUAUGGCAGCCAAAGCUAAUUGACGUAAAGUGAGCCCACACGUCGGACAGAACACAAGCCCACAUGUUCAUUGUUCACAUGGGAGUCUUGCGACACGCCUUGUACCCUGUAUCCGGCCACUCGUUCCUGACUCUAUCUUCUCGUGAAAUGAGAAAUUGACGAUUUAACAUGAGAGAGUGCCGCUCGACUAUGUAUACCUAUAUGGUGAAGCACAACCAUGAAAACCGCGGUCGUUGUAAACCGUGUUUACGAUAGAGUUUGCGACUGCGUUCACACCUAAUACAGCCAGUGUGACGCGGUACUUUAAUCUUAUGUGCGGAUGGACCCUGAAAGACUUUUUUCUAUGUACUAAGUGCACCUUCAAACAUUCAGGAGGUACAGAGUGCGAACGAUUUGACGCGGUGUGGCGGUAUAAACAUGAAAGGGAUUUCAAGAGCCGCUAAUAAUAAAACGGUCACUCGCAGCCGGCCUCUUACAACUGCUUUUAUACCGGGUGUACCGAUUAUCAAGCAUCACCUCCGAGUCUAAUUGGACCGGCCUCUACUGCAAAGAGAAAUUAGGACGUGGAAGGGACUAUAUUAAUGCGUUUAUACCUGAACCUAGGGAAAAAAUUGCUAUAGAUCUUUUUUUUUCUUUUUCUUUUUCGAUGACUUUUUGGGAGUGGUUCAGUUUUUCGAGGGGUGGGAUUUUUUCGAAAUUUUACCUGCGAGACUUACGGAGAAUCGUCGUUCUGGGAAUUAGCUUUUACUCUGGUAUUUUAUUGUUAUUGGAAGAGGAAUACAUUUUUUUUGUUCUUAAUACGGAUUUCGAAAUUGCUCUGUCGCAAGGUGGCGUUGCGGUAUCCUAAAUGUUGUGCGGAUUCGCGAGUUUCUCGUCAGGACGAGACAGGCAGUUGGUGUGAAGGGGCGUACCCAGGGCCUGAAGCACUUCGUUCCAAGAACCAUCAUCUCCAUCUCCUGGGACUCACGGUCGCGGCUGCAACACGCCGCAGCCCAACAUCCUAUAAUACAGCAUUUUGAACAGGCACUGCGGCAGGCUCAGCCUGCGGGCCGCAUUUAGGGACUUUUUAGUUUUGUUGCGGAAAUUAGCUGCGCGCCAGCUAGCAUCAGGCCUCAGCGUCUUAAUCUGGCCACCUCUCUCUCCCAAAAAAACACGCGUCGAUUUUAUUUACGAUUAGUAUCGCAUGCUUUCACUCUUUUUUAAUUCACGUUGUUCUUUGAAAAUACUCAAGCGCAAUAUAAUAGUCUAAUAAAUUAGUUAUAUAUAAAUACACCAUGUAUUAUAUUUCAGUGCCAUUCCGCCUCAAAAUAAAUAACGUGAUUCACAUUAGCUGCGCAGGUUGUCUUGUGAACAACGAAUUGUAAUAUGAAUGCGAAGUUUAGAGCGAUUUGCUAAAAUUAGGAAUUAUACCUAUGAGACUAGGUAAUAAAAGCGACACGAUCAGCUUUACAGGUUUUGAUGUCUGACUGUUACGUGCUUUACUGAAAAUAA
This is a long non-coding RNA of Cephus cinctus (wheat stem sawfly), 2745 nucleotides long. RefSeq lists it as uncharacterized. The record is from RefSeq and is a predicted model, not a curated record. The transcript has 5 exons. NCBI's taxonomy places the organism in Eukaryota, Metazoa, Arthropoda, Insecta, Hymenoptera, Cephidae.